UACGGGCGAAAAGCCUAAAACUCAAAAGACUUGGCGGUGCUUCAUACACGACUUAGAGGAGCCUGUCCUAUAAUCGAUAUUCCACGAUAAACCUAACCACCCCUUGCCAAGUUCAGCCUAUAUACCGCCGUCAACAACCUACCCCAUGAGGGUAAAAUAGUAGAUGUAAAAGUCCAACACACAAACGUCAGGUCAAGGUGUAGCUUAUAGGGUGGAAGAGAUGGGCUACAUUUUUUCAGAUAAAACACCACGGCAAAAUAUCUUGAAACCGAUAUUAUAAGGCGGAUUUAACAGUAAAAUAAGCAAGAAGGCUUACUUUAAACUCGCUCUG
This 331-nucleotide ribosomal RNA is filed under the name Anolis wattsii. Its description in RNAcentral is "partial 12S ribosomal RNA". It matches the Rfam family "Bacterial small subunit ribosomal RNA", at positions 881 to 1376 of the family's 1533-position model. The record is from RNAcentral. Lineage: Eukaryota; Metazoa; Chordata; Lepidosauria; Squamata; Anolidae.